GCUUCGGUGAUGUAGUGGCAGAGCACGUGUUUACGUAUAGGAUGAAACGCGGGUUCGAUUCCCGCCUGAAGCC
Non-coding RNA from Parelaphostrongylus tenuis, 73 nucleotides. The record is from the annotation of a GenBank genome assembly. Lineage: Eukaryota; Metazoa; Nematoda; Chromadorea; Rhabditida; Metastrongylidae.